UAGAACUGGAGACAGAACUCAAGGUGUGGCCCCAUCAGUACCAUUACAAAAGAAGAAUCAUUUCCUUCUUCCUGCUGGCCCCACUAUUUCUCUGCAGGUUGGGAUGCCAGGAUGUUUUGACAACCAAACACUAAGUGAAUUUUCUGUGUUGCCAUUCACCAUGAGGAGUCCUCAGGAAGAAUUUUAGUUUCUAGAAAGGUGCAUCAGAGUACCAGUAGCCUCUGAACUUUCUGGUGGCGCAAACUACAGUGUCUGAAAUGAAAAAGCCAGCAAAACAGGGAUUAGCAAAGAGCACUAUGAGACGGUAUUUAUGAAAGCUUACAAAAUUGCUUGACAGCAACUGUACUAUUAACUAUAGUUAGUGCACCGUAGUGGGAACUGGCUUUGGUGCUAGAAGGCUGAAGUGUAGUAAAUGUGAUACCAGAGGGAAAUUAGAGAAAAACUGAUGGUUUCCCCAGGAAAAAUGAUAAAAUGUAUAAAAAUUAAUAGAAUUAAUGAGUAUAAAGAGAUUUGCCAUGAGAAAGAAGGAGUACAUCAAGGAAAAUGAUGCUGCACAGCUUCAUUAUGCAUCUCAUACAGCUCAGGGGUUGCUAUAUGGCUGGGCAAAUAUGGUUGUCCUGAAAUCUUCAAUGUGCAAACCUCAUUUCAUCAUCUGAAAAAUUAUGUAGCAGAUAUGGAAAAACAAGAGAGAUGCAAAACAAGGAUACUGAGUGAUUUCCUUAGCACAAAUCACUAUUCAGACAAAAACUUGUCAGGCUGGAAAAGGAAUGGUGGAAGCUGGAUGUGCUAGAGGCCCUUAAUAUCAUAAACAUAUGCAGAAGGUGGACCUGGAGCGGUGCGUUCCCGGCGACGGAUAGUGAGCACCAAAAGACUGGCAGAUGGCGUCUUCUUGGAAGAGAUAUUUCCACGUUGUGCUUCAUCAGGCUGUGGAAGUGUGUUCAGAGUGCUAGUACACCACAUGGUUUCUAGAAGCAUAUUCAGCAAAUUCAUGAAAUCCAUUUUAAGACUAUAAAAAGUGUACAAAGCCAUCUUUCCCUCAGUAAAGCCCUGAAUUGUAUAUUGGUGGACUCUGAGAAGGUGCAGAGACCUUUGGAAGAAAUGGUGAGAAUGGAGAGGGUAACACCUGCUCAAAGAAGCUUUUGCUGCCCCGAAAAGGCUUUAACGUGGGAAAGAAUUCAUUCUCAUGCAGGAUGCUGUGUAUCUUUGUCUGCCGAGAGGCUGAGGAAGAGACAAAGUGUUCUUACAGAAAGAAACUUCAGGAGUGGCAAAGCUCAGGAAAAACAAUAGGAUGAA
Lepidothrix coronata (blue-crowned manakin) is the source of this 1293-nucleotide long non-coding RNA. RefSeq lists it as uncharacterized. The transcript has 3 exons. The record is from RefSeq and is a predicted model, not a curated record. Lineage: Eukaryota; Metazoa; Chordata; Aves; Passeriformes; Pipridae.